UACGUAGGGUGCGAGCGUUGUCCGGAAUUAUUGGGCGUAAAGAGCUUGUAGGCGGUUUGUCGCGUCUGCUGUGAAAAUCCGGGGCUCAACCCCGGACUUGCAGUGGGUACGGGCAGACUAGAGUGUGGUAGGGGAGACUGGAAUUCCUGGUGUAGCGGUGAAAUGCGCAGAUAUCAGGAGGAACACCGAUGGCGAAGGCAGGUCUCUGGGCAUGACCUGACGCUGAGGAGCGAAAGUGUGGGGAGCGAACAGG
Molecule: ribosomal RNA, 253 nt
Filed under: uncultured bacterium
Lineage: Bacteria
Description: partial 16S ribosomal RNA
Rfam family: Bacterial small subunit ribosomal RNA
Source: RNAcentral